UGAGGAAUAUUGGUCAAUGGGCGCUAGCCUGAACCAGCCAAGUAGCGUGAAGGAUGACUGCCCUAUGGGUUGUAAACUUCUUUUAUAUGGGAAUAAAGUGCAGUAUGUAUACUGCUUUGCAUGUACCUUAUGAAUAAGGAUCGGCUAACUCCGUGCCAGCAGCCGCGGUAAUACGGAGGAUCCGAGCGUUAUCCGGAUUUAUUGGGUUUAAAGGGAGCGUAGGCGGGUUGUUAAGUCAGUUGUGAAAGUUUGCGGCUCAACCGUAAAAUUGCAGUUGAUACUGGCAUCCUUGAGUACAGUAGA
RNAcentral lists this ribosomal RNA (303 nucleotides) under uncultured bacterium. RNAcentral's name for it is "bacterial SSU rRNA". It matches the Rfam family "Bacterial small subunit ribosomal RNA", at positions 355 to 655 of the family's 1533-position model. The record is from RNAcentral.